RNAcentral lists this ribosomal RNA (1460 nucleotides) under human gut metagenome. RNAcentral describes it as "bacterial SSU rRNA". It matches the Rfam family "Bacterial small subunit ribosomal RNA". The record is from RNAcentral.
AGAGUUUGAUCCUGGCUCAGGACGAACGCUGGCGGCGUGCCUAAUACAUGCAAGUCGAGCGAGUCUGCCUUGAAGAUCGGAGUGCUUGCACUCUGUGAAACAAGAUACAGGCUAGCGGCGGACGGGUGAGUAACACGUGGGUAACCUGCCCAAGAGAUCGGGAUAACACCUGGAAACAGAUGCUAAUACCGGAUAACAACAGAUGAUGCCUAUCAACUGUUUAAAAGAUGGUUCUGCUAUCACUCUUGGAUGGACCUGCGGUGCAUUAGCUAGUUGGUAGGGUAACGGCCUACCAAGGCGAUGAUGCAUAGCCGAGUUGAGAGACUGAUCGGCCACAUUGGGACUGAGACACGGCCCAAACUCCUACGGGAGGCAGCAGUAGGGAAUCUUCCACAAUGGACGCAAGUCUGAUGGAGCAACGCCGCGUGAGUGAAGAAGGGUUUCGGCUCGUAAAGCUCUGUUGUUGGUGAAGAAGGACAGGGGUAGUAACUGACCUUUGUUUGACGGUAAUCAAUUAGAAAGUCACGGCUAACUACGUGCCAGCAGCCGCGGUAAUACGUAGGUGGCAAGCGUUGUCCGGAUUUAUUGGGCGUAAAGCGAGUGCAGGCGGCUCGAUAAGUCUGAUGUGAAAGCCUUCGGCUCAACCGGAGAAUUGCAUCAGAAACUGUCGAGCUUGAGUACAGAAGAGGAGAGUGGAACUCCAUGUGUAGCGGUGAAAUGCGUAGAUAUAUGGAAGAACACCGGUGGCGAAGGCGGCUCUCUGGUCUGUUACUGACGCUGAGGCUCGAAAGCAUGGGUAGCGAACAGGAUUAGAUACCCUGGUAGUCCAUGCCGUAAAAAACUCAAAGGAAUUGACGGGGGCCCGCACAAGCGGUGGAGCAUGUGGUUUAAUUCGAAGCAACGCGAAGAACCUUACCAGGUCUUGACAUCCAUAGCCAGUCUAAGAGAUUAGAUGUUCCCUUCGGGGACUAUGAGACAGGUGGUGCAUGGCUGUCGUCAGCUCGUGUCGUGAGAUGUUGGGUUAAGUCCCGCAACGAGCGCAACCCUUGUCAUUAGUUGCCAGCAUUAAGUUGGGCACUCUAAUGAGACUGCCGGUGACAAACCGGAGGAAGGUGGGGAUGACGUCAAGUCAUCAUGCCCCUUAUGACCUGGGCUACACACGUGCUACAAUGGACGGUACAACGAGAAGCGACCCUGUGAAGGCAAGCGGAUCUCUGAAAGCCGUUCUCAGUUCGGAUUGCAGGCUGCAACUCGCCUGCAUGAAGCUGGAAUCGCUAGUAAUCGCAAAUCAGCACGUUGCGGUGAAUACGUUCCCGGGCCUUGUACACACCGCCCGUCACACCAUGAGAGUCUGUAACGCCCGAAGCCGGCGGGAUAACCGAAAGGAGUCAGCCGUCUAAGGCGGGACAGAUGAUUAGGGUGAAGUCGUAACAAGGUAGCCGUAGGAGAACCUGCGGCUG